UUUACGGGGAAUGGUAGAAAGCAACAUCGCAGCAAUCUUUCGAUGCUAAUUUUCUAAAGCUGAAUCUGUCGAUGGAAGUUUUCUAAAAUCUAGAUCUAAUGGUAUGUAUCUAAUUUUCCCUACUUUUUACCGCGUGCGGCGUGCCUGCCUGAGCGCACACGCUCAACCGGCCAGCGCUCGUCCAGUUCUUCUCGGGAUGGCCGGGCACGCCGGCGGCGGAGCUGGCCCGCGCGCCGGAGCCGGUCGCCUCCUGCCCCAAAUUCGGUGCCUCCUCCUCCAUCCUCCCUGCUCGCUGCCUUGAGUUCGACGGCGGCCGGUGGGCGGGCCUCCUCCUCAAUCCUCGCUCGGCAGCGCUAGUGGAGUCCUCCAUGGGGACAUGGCGGCGACGGCCAUGGCGCGUCCCUUGCUCCCUCCCCUUCUCCUCCGCCGCCCGCACGACUCCACGCCGUGCCGCCCCCAUGGCUGCUCCCUCUCCCUCUCUCCGGCUCCUCCUCCGCCACCGGCCGCCGCCUCAGGUCCUCCGCCGCCAACGAGCCGCGCCGACCGUCCCCUCCUCGCCCCUCGCCGCCGCGCCAUAGCAGCGGGCCGUGCCCCACAUCACCCCCUCGUCGUCGCAUCAUGGCAGUGGGUCGUGCCCCGCCUGGUUCCUCGUCGCCGCGCCACCCUCCUCCCCCCUCCCUCGCGUCGCGCCUUUCCAGGGAGGAGGGAGUGCCGGGAGGAGGGGCCCGGCGAGGGAGUGGGUGGCGGCGAGGAAGCCGGCCGGCCAGGGAGGAUGGAGAGCCGGGAGAAGGGGCACCAGGGAUGAGGGAGCGCGUGGCAGGCCCUAUGGCGAGUGCGGCAGGCCCCCAUGACCACGACGCCUCCUCUCCGGCGAGAUUCGGCCACCCCGGAAGACGUUGGUGCAACUUGUCGCCCCCACGAGCUUCCACUCACCGAGGCGCACCUGCCCCGCCUCACCUCCCAACGCGGCAGUGGCCCGCGCGGGGCCAUGGCGGCGGAUGCGGCGGCGGGAGGCACGGCGCGAUCUGCGCGGCGGCAACGCUCCAAGCCCCGGCGGCGGCCGGAUCCGGCUGAUCUCCGAGCUCCGCGGCCGGAGCUCUAGCGCGGGAGCAUUCAUGAGGAUUUUCCUACCUGAGAUUCGCAUUUAUCUCUUGGUUUUACAGUUCGAAUCAAGCUAGAAGGGAGUACUCCUCGCACUAGGGAUUUCCCAAAACUGCCUCCUAAAAUGGUUUGUUUCCCACCCAGAUCGAUUCACUCUGCAGUGGAUUUGUUUUCAGUUACAUUAGGGCUUUUCGUAUGCGGGUGUUGCCUCUUCAAAAGAGCAUCCUGCCUUUUGAUUCCCCAUGUCCUCCCUGGUACUUUUUAAUUUUUGUCCUCUUCAAAAGAGCAUCCUGCCUUUUGAUUCCCCAUGUCCUCUUCAAAAGAGCAUCCUGCCUUUUCAUUUACGAAUGUUUAAAUGCUAAACGUCUUACUCAGUGUCGGUUAGAUCUGCUCUCUAGCGCAUUUUAAUUUUUGCUAGAUACAUUCUCUUACCAGGGUACCAUUUUCUCUGUUCUUCUGCAGAUAUCAUUUCCAUUAACUAACCUUUACCACUUCUCUUUUUUUUUUCUAUUUUACUUGCGGCUUCUACCAUUUCCUUUGGAGAAGGACGCCUCACCACCUCACUGAAUGCUGCGAUUAAGAGUCUUGCAUUGCAGGUGUUUCGUUUUUUAGUGAGAAACAGGCGUGUCAGGUUAAUCCCAUCAGUAUACAAACAGCUGGUUUACAAAAAAAAA
This is a long non-coding RNA of Panicum virgatum (switchgrass), 1775 nucleotides long. RefSeq lists it as uncharacterized. The transcript has 2 exons. The record is from RefSeq and is a predicted model, not a curated record. NCBI's taxonomy places the organism in Eukaryota, Viridiplantae, Streptophyta, Magnoliopsida, Poales, Poaceae.